Molecule: ribosomal RNA, 253 nt
Filed under: uncultured bacterium
Lineage: Bacteria
Description: partial 16S ribosomal RNA
Rfam family: Bacterial small subunit ribosomal RNA
Source: RNAcentral
GACAGAGGGUGCAACCGUUGUUCGGAAUUACUGGGCGUAAAGCGCGCGCAGGCGGUCCUUUAAGUCUGAUGUGAAAGCCCACGGCUCAACCGUGGAGGGUCAUUGGAAACUGGGGGACUUGAGUGCAGGAGAGAAGAGUGGAAUUCCACGUGUAGCGGUGAAAUGCGUAGAGAUGUGGAGGAACACCAGUGGCGAAGGCGACUCUUUGGCCUGUAACUGACGCUGAGGCGCGAAAGCGUGGGGAGCAAACAGG